RNAcentral lists this long non-coding RNA (679 nucleotides) under Homo sapiens (human). RNAcentral's name for it is "HSALNT0171946". The record is from RNAcentral. Lineage: Eukaryota; Metazoa; Chordata; Mammalia; Primates; Hominidae.
UUACUGGUGGCUACUCUGACUUUUCAGGCUCAAGAAAGCCACACAUCUUAAUCUGACCAUUAUAUCAAUGUGUAGCCACUCGGCUACACGUAAGACUGAGAAGUCUUAUGGGGUCUUUUUUGCUCAAAGCCUUCUUAAAAUCCAUCUUUUAUUUUUGAGAGUUUAAAAACAGUCAUUUUUUCCAAUUCUGAAUUUCUGGUUAUUAUUUUCUUUCACUCCUGUAAACCAAACAAUAGUUUCCUAAACUCAUCUCUUCCUUGACUACAUUUGGCAAGGUAAUGCAAUUACAAUGAACACACACUACUAACAACUUCUUUUCUUAAACCUUCAAUCUUGGUAGAAACAUGAAAUGGCCUCCAAGUUGCCAAAGGGGCGAAACACUAUUUUCAUUCCUGACCAAAUGUCAACAUAAAAGAUUAAGAUGAACAAAUCAAGAUCUAUUAUUUCUGGAGAAUGGGAUUACUGAUGGAAGAGGGGGUACUUAAAUGGAAAUAUAAUAAUUUAAUAUUUAAAUUUACUUUGAAAUGUUAGUCAUCCAAAACCUUGGAACAACUCUGAAGGUCCCUCAUAUGGAUUCCUUGCUUCCCAGCUCCCUUUACAACUGGAUGUGAAAGGUGCUGUCUUCUGUACUUUCUCUUGAGAGGCAGAAAGAAAUAAACAAUGGCUAAUUCUGACCUAU